RNAcentral lists this transfer RNA (58 nucleotides) under Dipodomys ordii (Ord's kangaroo rat). It matches the Rfam family "tRNA", at positions 8 to 63 of the family's 71-position model. Rfam says of the family: Transfer RNA (tRNA) molecules are approximately 80 nucleotides in length. Their secondary structure includes four short double-helical elements and three loops (D, anti-codon, and T loops). Further hydrogen bonds mediate the characteristic L-shaped molecular structure. tRNAs have two regions of fundamental functional importance: the anti-codon, which is responsible for specific mRNA codon recognition, and the 3' end, to which the tRNAs corresponding amino acid is attached (by aminoacyl-tRNA synthetases). tRNAs cope with the degeneracy of the genetic code in two manners: having more than one tRNA (with a specific anti-codon) for a particular amino acid; and 'wobble' base-pairing, i.e. permitting non-standard base-pairing at the 3rd anti-codon position. The record is from Rfam by way of RNAcentral. Lineage: Eukaryota; Metazoa; Chordata; Mammalia; Rodentia; Heteromyidae.
UGGCUCAGUGGUAGAGUGCUUGCCUUGCAUGCAUGAGGACCUGGGUUCAAUUCCUCAG